AAAAACUUGAUAGUCCUGAUCUCAUUCUUAUCAGAAUAAAGCCUGAAGUGCUGGCUACAAUGAAUGUUCUCUGAGGCCAGGGGGAAUGGAUGAUGCCUAGUGCCCUUCAAAGCUUAGUCUACUGAAUUCAGUAAGGUUAUUGCCAUUAACUUUUCUGGAAUCAGGAACUAGAGCCUGUUUUUGUUUACUGCUGAAGUUAAAUCUGAGUAGGGAAUCCAUGCAUUCAGUCAGUCAGUUCAUGGGUACAAAAGCAGGCAGCUUCAGCUGCAUAGCAACUUCCUGUUGGCUGUAAAUCAAGACUGCUGCAGUCAGUUAAAAGCAUAAAAUGGUAUGGUUGGAGGAGGGGAGAGAGGAGGAGGGCUUGGGAGCCUUGCAGCUGUUUUCACAUCCUCUCUCAAGUAGAAUUUCUUCAAUUAAAAGCAAGGAUUUUAUGCAGUGAAACUUGGAAGAAAUCAAGUUGCACAAAUGCUCCCCCCCCCCUCUCCCAGGAGCUGCCAUAAAUUGCAUUAACAGCAAAGGUUCUUAGUUAAAAACACAACUCUCAAAACAAGACAACUACCAGAAUUCAUUCAUUCUGGAGGAUAAAAACAUCAUAUGCACAGAAGAAAUUAUGCCAGUGAAUCAGUGUGUUUGCCCAGGAACGCAAGAAAGAAAAACUGUGUGACAUGCUACAGGUAAAAAAACAUCAGCAUUUCCUAUAUAACAUGCUGAGAGGAAAAAUGAGCUGGAAGGCACAUCUGCAGCCCCAGGUCAAAUUUUCAUCUUAUGCUCAUAAGCUUGAGUGUAUAAGAGCUGAAGUGCUCUUGGAUGAAGUGAGUCUUUUGAACACACCAGUUAAUGAAGAUGUCUUUAGAGAAUAUGGCAUGAUUUACAAACACUGAAGUCCGUAAGGCUGGGUUUAUAAUUCUCAAGCAUACAUCUUCUCCCCCUCCCCCCUUACAAUCCUCUUCCCUGCAUCUUCCUUUCUUCAGCACAGGAAAUGAAGAUAAUUGUUUCUAAGAAAAAAAAAUCAACUUUGAAGAGCACUCUGAAAAUCUCAUACAACCAUGUGACAGGGUUAAAACUGUGAUGGCUUCCUAAAUGGCUGGAAAACUGCUAUGAAAUGGCAUCAUCACCAGAGGGCUUCUGCAUUAAGAAUCCCAAAGCCUAUAACAAGUCACUAAAAAUUGUGCAUCGAAGAUUUCUGUUUUGCUUUUAAAGGUUCAUUAUAAAAAAAAUCUUGUUAAUUGUUUUAAUACCAAGUCUGUAUAAUGAAUUAUUUUAAAUAGCUUAUAACAAAAGUUUGUUUGUUUUUAAAUUCCAAAAUGUUCCAACAGGCAGAAGGGCAACAUAAAAACAUUGCCACACUUGCCUUUUACUCUGAUUUUAGCUGGACGAUGCUGCUUGCUUGGAGUAUACCAGUAGAAAAUUUGCUGUGGACUUAAAAGUAUUUUGUUUAUAAACACUUUGUGUUUUAUAGGCACAGUAAGAUGUUGUGCUGUAUGGAUUAAAAAAAAAAAAAAGAGAUGUAAUUCAGUGCUUCUGUUAUGAAGAGUAACAUUUGCCUUCCAACUAUGUAAAAGUCCAUACUCAUGGAUGUGUGCUAAGACACAACUACUCACACAUGCACUUACACACGUACCCCCACACAUCCUCCCUUACUGUGCAUAUACAGCAUUCUGUAUGUGUA
Molecule: long non-coding RNA, 1669 nt
Organism: Dromaius novaehollandiae (emu)
Lineage: Eukaryota; Metazoa; Chordata; Aves; Casuariiformes; Dromaiidae
Source: Ensembl